UGUAAGCGUAUACCAAAGUUGUUGCAGUUAAAACGCUCGUAGUCGGAAUUUGGCAGUUCCGGAAGUGUGCACGUCGUGUGCGCACUUUGCGGGGACUGCUUUUGUGGUCUUGCGUAGGAUGAGGCACUUUCAUUAGUGAACGUCCUCACGCAACCACUCUUUACUGUGAGAAAAUCAGAGUGCUCAAAGCAGGCAUUUGCCGUGAAUGUAUUAGCAUGGAAUAAUAGAAUAGGACUCGGUUCUAUUUCGUUGGUUUGUUGGGACUGAGUAAUGAUUAAGAGGGACAGUUGGGGGCAUUUGUAUUCCGGCGCUAGAGGUGAAAUUCUUAGAUUGCCGGAAGACAAACUGCUGCGAAAGCGUCUGCCAAGGAUGUUUUCAUUGA
RNAcentral lists this ribosomal RNA (382 nucleotides) under uncultured eukaryote. RNAcentral's name for it is "partial 18S ribosomal RNA". It matches the Rfam family "Eukaryotic small subunit ribosomal RNA", at positions 592 to 976 of the family's 1831-position model. The record is from RNAcentral.